UUGAACGCUGGCGGCAUGCUUUACACAUGCAAGUCGAACGGUAACAGGCCUUCGGGUGCUGACGAGUGGCGAACGGGUGAGUAAUGCAUCGGAACGUACCCAGAGGUGGGGGAUAACGCAGCGAAAGCUGUGCUAAUACCGCAUGUGAUCUGAGGAUGAAAGCGGGGGACCGAGCAGCAAUGUUUGGCCUCGCGCCUUUGGAGCGGCCGAUGUCGGAUUAGCUAGUUGGUGGGGUAAAGGCCUACCAAGGCGACGAUCCGUAGCUGGUCUGAGAGGACGACCAGCCACACUGGGACUGAGACACGGCCCAGACUCCUACGGGAGGCAGCAAUGGGGAAUUUUGGACAAUGGGCGCAAGCCUGAUCCAGCAAUGCCGCGUGAGGGAAGAAGGCCUUCGGGUUGUAAACCGCUUUUGGCAGGAACGAAACGGUGUCCGCUAAUACCGGGCGCUAAUGACGGUACCUGCAGAAUAAGCACCGGCUAACUACGUG
This 491-nucleotide ribosomal RNA is filed under the name uncultured bacterium. Its description in RNAcentral is "partial 16S ribosomal RNA". It matches the Rfam family "Bacterial small subunit ribosomal RNA", at positions 29 to 507 of the family's 1533-position model. The record is from RNAcentral.